Molecule: long non-coding RNA, 431 nt
Filed under: Panax ginseng (ginseng)
Lineage: Eukaryota; Viridiplantae; Streptophyta; Magnoliopsida; Apiales; Araliaceae
Description: long non-coding RNA (PGIN_LNC002454)
Source: RNAcentral
UUGGACCAAUUUUUCUCUUUAAAAAUAAUCAGAACUUUUGUAUGAAGAGAUAUAAAAUCUUGAGAGAAUGUAGGCAAGGAGAGUAUGAUUUUCUUUUCACAAAAUUGGUAAAAAUCGAAUGAAUGAAAUACUCCCUAUUUAUAGAAAUUUUUGAAGUUGGGGCAAAAUAGUAAUUUUAGAAAAAUAAUUUUGAACGUGUGGUUUAGAUCAAGCAUUUUUGAAUUGAAGGGUCCGGAUUUAAUCAAGCAAAUACGCGGUAGGAAGCUAAAAAACCGCCCAGGCAAUUUUCUAGCUUCAUGAGCAUUUAUUAUGUUUGACCAAGCAAUUUGCCAGCCAAUACACGGUUUGUCCCAAAAAGAUAGUCACUCAAGCAUACUCACAUACACUCGGUCACAGCACACAUGCACGGUACACAUGCACAUUAAUUAGAC